Molecule: ribosomal RNA, 119 nt
Filed under: Salmo salar (Atlantic salmon)
Lineage: Eukaryota; Metazoa; Chordata; Actinopteri; Salmoniformes; Salmonidae
Source: RNAcentral
GCUUACGGCCAUACCAGCCUGGGUACGCCCGAUCUCGUCUGAUCUCGGAAGCUUAGCAGGGUCGGGCCUGGUUAGUACUUGGAUGGGAGACCGCCUGGGAAUACCAGGUGCUGUAAGCA